AGUGAACGCUGGCGGCGUGCUUAGCACAUGCAAGUCGAACGAGAACGGGUUAUAACUUGUUAUAACUGUCAGCUAAGUGGCGCACGGGUGAGUAAUGUAUAGGUAAUAUGCCUCUUACUAAGGGAUAACAAAUGGAAACGUUUGCUAAUACCUUAUACUCCUUAUUAACCUAAGUUAAUAAGGGAAAGAUUUAUUGGUAAGAGAUUAGCCUGUAUUGUAUCAGUUAGUUGGUGGGGUAAUGGCUUACCAAGACUAUGACACAUAACUGGUUUGAGAGGAUGAUCAGUCACACUGGAACUGAGACACGGUCCAGACUCCUACGGGAGGCAGCAGUGGGAAAUAUUGCACAAUGGACGAAAGUCUGAUGCAGCAACGCCGCGUGGAGGAUGACACAUUUCGGUGCGUAAACUCCUUUUAUAUGAGAAGAUAAUGACGGUAUUAUAUGAAUAAGCACCGGCUAACUCCGUGCCAGCAGCCGCCGUAA
Molecule: ribosomal RNA, 484 nt
Filed under: uncultured bacterium
Lineage: Bacteria
Description: partial 16S ribosomal RNA
Rfam family: Bacterial small subunit ribosomal RNA
Source: RNAcentral